AUUGAUAGCUUGCUAUCCAUGGUGAGAGUGGCGCACGGGUGCGUAACGCGUGAGCAACCUACCUCCAUCAGGGGGAUAGCCUCUCGAAAGAGAGAUUAACACCGCAUAACAUCCACAGUUCGCAUGUUCAGUUGAUUAAAUAUUUAUAGGAUGGAGAUGGGCUCGCGUGACAUUAGCUAGUUGGUAGGGUAACGGCUUACCAAGGCGACGAUGUCUAGGGGCUCUGAGAGGAGAAUCCCCCACACUGGUACUGAGACACGGACCAGACUCCUACGGGAGGCAGCAGUAAGGAAUAUUGGUCAAUGGGCGGAAGCCUGAACCAGCCAUGCCGCGUGCAGGAUGACUGCCCUAUGGGUUGUAAACUGCUUUUGUCCGGGAAUAAACCUCCUUACGUGUAGGGAGCUGAAUGUACCGGAAGAAUAAGGAUCGGCUAACUCCGUGCCAGCAGCCGCGGUAAUACGGAGGAUCCGAGCGUUAUCCGGAUUUAUUGGGUUUAAAGGGUGCGUAGGCGGCUUAUUAAGUCAGGGGUGAAAGACGGCAGCUCAACUGUCGCAGUGCCUUUGAUACUGAUGAGCUUGAAUGUGAUUGAAGAUGGCGGAAUGAACAAGUAGCGGUGAAUGCAUAGAUAUGUCUCAGAACCCGAUUGCGAGGCAUUAUCUAAGCG
RNAcentral lists this ribosomal RNA (664 nucleotides) under uncultured bacterium. Its description in RNAcentral is "bacterial SSU rRNA". It matches the Rfam family "Bacterial small subunit ribosomal RNA", at positions 71 to 736 of the family's 1533-position model. The record is from RNAcentral.